UAAACGAUGUCGAUUUGGAGGUUGUGGCUUCCGGAGCUAACGCGUUAAAUCGACCGCCUGGGGAGUACGGCCGCAAGGUUAAAACUCAAAUGAAUUGACGGGGGCCCGCACAAGCGGUGGAGCAUGUGGUUUAAUUCGAUGCAACGCGAAGAACCUUACCUGGUCUUGACAUCCAGGUGCUGCAUGGCUGUCGUCAGCUCGUGUUGUGAAAUGUUGGGUUAAGUCCCGCAACGAGCGCAACCCUUAUCCUUUGUUGCAACUCAAAGGAGACUGCCAGUGAUAAACUGGAGGAAGGUGGGGAUGACGUCAAGUCAUCAUGGCCCUUACGACCAGGGCUACACACGUGCUACAAUGGCAUAUACAAAGAGAAGCGACCUCGCGAGAGCAAGCGGACCUCAUAAAGUAUGUCGUAGUCCGGAUUGGAGUCUGCAACUCGACUCCAUGAAGUCGGAAUCGCUAGUAAUCGUAGAUCAGAUGCUACGGUGAAUACGUUCCCGGGCCUUGUACACACCGCCCGUCACACCAUGGGAGUGGGUUGCAAAAGAAGUAGGUUACCACUUUGUGAUUCAUGACUGGGGUGAAGCGUAACAAGUAACCAAGG
This 601-nucleotide ribosomal RNA is filed under the name uncultured bacterium. RNAcentral describes it as "bacterial SSU rRNA". It matches the Rfam family "Bacterial small subunit ribosomal RNA", at positions 803 to 1504 of the family's 1533-position model. The record is from RNAcentral.